CUUUCAAAUCUGCCUGGAGGAGCUUGCUAUUAAACCGAUAACCCACGGAAGACCUCACCAAUUUUAGCAACACCAGCUUGUAUACCAUCGUCGUCAGUCUACCUCUCAAGAGAAGUAAGCCCAAGGAUAUUCCUUCUUCUCAACGUCAGAUCGAGGUGCAGCUUAUAAAUUGGGAAUCAGUGAGCUACAAUAAAUUAUACAUUUCAAAAGCAUAUUUGAAUUAUCAUGUGAAAAACAGAUAUGAAAAAGGAUUCAGAAGUAACACUUAACAGAGAAUAAGUGUGAACACAGCUAAGCUCUGAAAUGCGU
This 309-nucleotide ribosomal RNA is filed under the name Mithrodia clavigera. Its description in RNAcentral is "partial 12S ribosomal RNA". The record is from RNAcentral. Lineage: Eukaryota; Metazoa; Echinodermata; Asteroidea; Spinulosida; Mithrodiidae.